GAUGAACGCUAGCUACAGGCUUAACACAUGCAAGUCGCGGGGCAGCAUGGGGGUUGCUUGCAAUCCCCGAUGGCGACCGGCGCACGGGUGAGUAACGCGUAUCCAACCUGCCCUUCACCACGGGAUAACCCGGCGAAAGUCGGACUAAUACCGUAUGUUGUCCAUUGACGGCAUCCGAUUUGGACGAAAGGUUUGGCGGUGAAGGAUGGGGAUGCGUCCGAUUAGCUGGACGGCGGGGUGACGGCCCACCGUGGCGACGAUCGGUAGGGGUUCUGAGAGGAAGGUCCCCCACACUGGAACUGAGACACGGUCCAGACUCCUACGGGAGGCAGCAGUGAGGAAUAUUGGUCAAUGGGCGUAAGCCUGAACCAGCCAAGUAGCGUGCAGGAUGACGGCCCUAUGGGUUGUAAACUGCUUUUAUGCGGGGAUAAAGUGGCCCACGUGUGGGUUUUUGCAGGUACCGCAUGAAUAGGGACCGGCUAAUUCCGUG
This 490-nucleotide ribosomal RNA is filed under the name uncultured bacterium. RNAcentral's name for it is "partial 16S ribosomal RNA". It matches the Rfam family "Bacterial small subunit ribosomal RNA", at positions 28 to 507 of the family's 1533-position model. The record is from RNAcentral.